UAGAAGCAGAGAGAGAUGGGCCAACAGAGAUAGAGAAAUCGAUAGAGAGAGAGACUCAGCCAGAGGGAUGCUUCGCCAAGACCUCCAUCGGCAACAGUCUCUCCCCGCAUGCCUCCCCCAAGCUGUACUGAAAUUCUUGGCCAACGGUGUCUUGAUGUACUACAAUACUGCACUGAAUGACAAGCUGUAGCGACCCGAAGCUGGAUUGGUCUUCAAGCACCUACAAGAGCCAACGAGAUUAUCUGCAUGGUCUAUAAUAUUUUCUUCGAAGAUUCAGAAAAGGCCAGAGUUAAUUUGAAGCUUGGAGGAUGAAGCAAUCAGUCAAAGUGUAGCAA
Long non-coding RNA from Lolium rigidum, 335 nucleotides. RefSeq lists it as uncharacterized. The transcript has 3 exons. NCBI's taxonomy places the organism in Eukaryota, Viridiplantae, Streptophyta, Magnoliopsida, Poales, Poaceae. The record is from RefSeq and is a predicted model, not a curated record.